ACAUUGGUAGUUCAGUGGUUGGAUUCUCGCUUUCCAUGCGGGAGACCCAGGUUCAACUCUCGGCCAAUGUA
RNAcentral lists this transfer RNA (71 nucleotides) under Loxodonta africana (African savanna elephant). It matches the Rfam family "tRNA". Rfam says of the family: Transfer RNA (tRNA) molecules are approximately 80 nucleotides in length. Their secondary structure includes four short double-helical elements and three loops (D, anti-codon, and T loops). The record is from Rfam by way of RNAcentral. Lineage: Eukaryota; Metazoa; Chordata; Mammalia; Proboscidea; Elephantidae.